RNAcentral lists this ribosomal RNA (1421 nucleotides) under Fomitopsis aff. pulvina 1E2. RNAcentral describes it as "eukaryotic LSU rRNA". The stretch from base 791 to 1421 matches the Rfam family "Eukaryotic large subunit ribosomal RNA", at positions 1 to 635 of the family's 3401-position model. Lineage: Eukaryota; Fungi; Basidiomycota; Agaricomycetes; Polyporales; Fomitopsidaceae. The record is from RNAcentral.
GGAUCAUUAUCGAACAAAAUGGGAAGGGGAAAGGGGGGUGGAGAUUGUGCUGGCUUUUUUCUCUAGGCAUUGUGCACAUUUCUUCUUCUUUCACCUUUCACAUUACACACACCUUGUGCACUCUUUGUAGGCCCUCGAAAGAGGAUCUAUGUAAUUCUACAUCACCCUAAUGUAUGUCUAUAGAAGGUCAUCAUUAUAAUACAACUUUCAGCAAUGGAUCUCUUGGCUCUCGCAUCGAUGACGAACGCAGCGAAUUGCGAUAUGUAAUGUGAAUUGCAGAUUUUCAGUGAAUCAUCGAAUCUUUGAACGCACCUUGCGCUCCUUGGUAUUCCAAGGAGCAUGCCUGUUUGAGUGUCAUUGAAUUCUCAACCAUGUCUUUUCUGAGACAUGGCUUUGGACUUGGGGGUUGCUGGUCAUGGAUUAGCUCCUCUGAAAUGUAUUAGCGAAAAAGGGUGUCAAGUCCUUUUCCUGGAUGUGCAUGGCCUUUGGCGUGAUAAUGAUCGUCAUGGGCUUGGAGCAUCUGCAAUGGGGGGAAAGGGCGCAGAUCCUUUGACUGCUUCUAAUCCUUGGGCUUUGGUUGACUUAGCUACUAGUUUGGUCUUGAACUUGUGACUGAUGAAUGUCAAGUCAAUCUCAUCUUGGGUUUUCACCUAGCUACUAGUUUGCCUUGCUUGCAAGGUCGACAAAUGUUGGGAAAAAAGGGACCUUUGGUGGGGGUUGCUUGACUAUGAGUUGGAUUCAAUCUCAGGACUGAGCGAACGUUAGGAAAAAAAAUCCCUUAAAUUGAAUUUGACCUCAAAUCAGGUAGGAUUACCCGCUGAACUUAAGCAUAUCAAUAAGCGGAGGAAAAGAAACUAACAAGGAUUCCCCUAGUAACUGCGAGUGAAGCGGGAAAAGCUCAAAUUUUGAAUCUGGCAGUCAUUCUGGCUGUCCGAGUUGUAAUCUAGAGAAGUGUUGUCCGCGCUGGUCCUGUGUACAAGUCUCCUGGAAGGGAGCAUCCUAGAGGGUGAGAAUCCCGUCUUUGACACAGACUAACCAGGGCUUCUGUGACACACUUUCAAUGAGUCGAGUUGUUUGGGAAUGCAGCUCAAAUAGGGUGGUAAAUUCCAUCUAAAGCUAAAUACAGGCGAGAGACCGAUAGCGAACAAGUACCGUGAGGGAAAGACGAAAAGAACUUUGAAAAGAGAGUUAAACAGUACGUGAAAUUGCUGAAAGGGAAACGCUUGAUGUCAGUCGCGUUGAUUGGGGAUCAACCUUGCUUUUUACAGCUGGGUGCACUUCCUGGUCAACGGGUCAGCAUCAGUUUUGAUUGCCAUACAAUGGCCAAGGGAAUGUGGCACUUCUCUUACCAGGAGUGUGUUAUAGCCUUUCGGUCGUAUAUGGUGCUUGGGACUGAGGAACUCGGCAGGUGUUACAUCUGU